AUCACUUUUCGAGUCGAUGAUGAGCAUGAGUUUUCUGCCUCUGUUCGUGUUGGCCAAUCUACUACUCUCGUUAUGUUUGAUGUUCAUUGAGGCCACGAGGUAUCGUCGAGCUCUAAACAUUAAAUUAAGCACUUGUUGGGAGGUAACCCAAUUGUUUUCUUGUUUUUCUUUUCCUUUUUCCUUUUUCCUUUUUCUUGUGGUUCUUUUUAUUUUCUUUGUCUUGCCUAGUUGUUAUGUAGAAAAGAUCGCAAUAGAGUUUGGGUGAUGUGGAGUUUUUGAGCCUCAUUCAUACCACCAUCUUGGAGCAUGUUUUUCAACAAAUUCAAUGUUUUUCUUCUUUUCGCCUUUGUCAUGUCUCUAACCCAUCUCAAAGGUUCUUAGAGAACCAAUCAGUUUGUGCAAAGACAUUUUAGAAAGAUCUCUGCUUUUUUUCAAUAGUUAUAGUUUUGACAUCAUACUUUUCAGUUAUAGAUCUCAUCACCUUUCACACGAGCUUGUAUUAGGAAAC
RNAcentral lists this long non-coding RNA (508 nucleotides) under Salvia miltiorrhiza (redroot sage). RNAcentral describes it as "long non-coding RNA (SMIL_LNC009640)". Lineage: Eukaryota; Viridiplantae; Streptophyta; Magnoliopsida; Lamiales; Lamiaceae. The record is from RNAcentral.